GAUGAACGCUGGCGGUGUGCCUAAUACAUGCAAGUCGAGCGAGCAGACGAGGAGCUUACUCCUCUGACGUUAGCGGCGGACGGGUGAGUAACACGUGGAUAACCUACCUAUAAGACUGGGAUAACUUCGGGAAACCGGAGCUAAUACCGGAUAACAUGUUGAACCGCAUGGUUCAACAGUGAAAGACGGUCUUGCUGUCACUUAUAGAUGGAUCCGCGUCGCAUUAGCUAGUUGGUAAGGUAACGGCUUACCAAGGCAACGAUGCGUAGCCGACCUGAGAGGGUGAUCGGCCACACUGGAACUGAGACACGGUCCAGACUCCUACGGGAGGCAGCAGUAGGGAAUCUUCCGCAAAGGGCGAAAGCCUGACGGAGCAACGCCGCGUGAGUGAAGAAGGUCUUCGGAUCGUAAAACUCUGUUAUUAGGGAAGAACAAAUGUGUAAGUAACUAUGCACGUCUUGACGGUACCUAAUCAGAAAGCCACGGCUAACUACGUG
This 497-nucleotide ribosomal RNA is filed under the name uncultured bacterium. RNAcentral describes it as "partial 16S ribosomal RNA". It matches the Rfam family "Bacterial small subunit ribosomal RNA", at positions 28 to 507 of the family's 1533-position model. The record is from RNAcentral.